UUGAAUGGCCGCAGUAUUUUAACUGUGCAAAGGUAGCAUAAUCAUUAGUCUUUUAAUUGAAGGCUUGUAUGAAUGGUUGGACAAGAUAUAUAUUGUUUCAUAUAAAUUUAUAGAAUUUUAUUUUUUAGUUAAAAAGCUAAAAUUUUAUUAAAAGACGAGAAGACCCUAUAGAUCUUUAUAAUUAUUAAGUUUUAUUUAUUAAGAAUAUUUUAUAUUUAAUUUAGAUAAUUAUUUUAUUGGGGUGAUAGUAAGAUUAAUUGAACUCUUAUUUAAAUUAAUACAUAAAUUAAUGAUUAAUUGAUCCAAUAUUAUUGAUCAGUAAAAUAAGUUACCUUAGGGAUAACAGCGUAAUUUUUUUAGAGAGUUCAUAUCGAUAAAAAAGAUUGCGACCUCGAUGUUGGAUUAAGAGAUAAAUUUGGGCGCAGCCGUUCAAAUUUAAAGUCUGUUCGACUUUUUGAUUCUUACAUGA
Molecule: ribosomal RNA, 469 nt
Filed under: Stenobasipteron wiedemanni
Lineage: Eukaryota; Metazoa; Arthropoda; Insecta; Diptera; Nemestrinidae
Description: partial large subunit ribosomal RNA
Rfam family: Bacterial large subunit ribosomal RNA
Source: RNAcentral